RNAcentral lists this transfer RNA (72 nucleotides) under Candidatus Woesearchaeota archaeon. RNAcentral's name for it is "tRNA-Gly". It matches the Rfam family "tRNA". From Rfam's summary of the family: Transfer RNA (tRNA) molecules are approximately 80 nucleotides in length. Their secondary structure includes four short double-helical elements and three loops (D, anti-codon, and T loops). Further hydrogen bonds mediate the characteristic L-shaped molecular structure. tRNAs have two regions of fundamental functional importance: the anti-codon, which is responsible for specific mRNA codon recognition, and the 3' end, to which the tRNAs corresponding amino acid is attached (by aminoacyl-tRNA synthetases). tRNAs cope with the degeneracy of the genetic code in two manners: having more than one tRNA (with a specific anti-codon) for a particular amino acid; and 'wobble' base-pairing, i.e. permitting non-standard base-pairing at the 3rd anti-codon position. Lineage: Archaea; Nanobdellati; Candidatus Woesearchaeota. The record is from RNAcentral.
GCGCUGGUAGUUUAGCGGCCAGAAUGAGACGUUGCCAACGUUUCGACCCGGGUUCGAUUCCCGGCCAGCGCA